UCAGCACAUUUUCUGAGACAGCAGCCCCUGCUGAGUGCUACCUCCCCCAUUUCUUUCUAACCUUUUAAUGAAAAAUAAACCUCUAGCCAGAUCCAUUAGAUCAGGUCAUUAAAUUAACUGUUGUUUUCACUGGAACUUCUGAGAGGUCACUGCCUACAGCUGUGGAGGAUGUAUUUGAUACAACAUGCCUGGCCCAGCUGGGCACCACCUAAAUAGUCUAUGCCCAUCCUCUCCAAUGAACCCCAACCUUCUCAUCCUGCCCAGGACAUGAACACUAAACUUCCAGAGAACUAUGGACUCAAACAAUUGCAGAAUUGUGAAAAUCCUCAAGAGUCCAGUCCAACUCCUCUGCAAAUCAUGAAUUCACCCCACAACACCCCUAAGGAAUGGUCAUCCAACCUGUGCUUGAAAACUUCAGGUGGUAAUACUUGGAAACUUCCACUAAGGGUUGGAAGAAAGGGGAUCCUCUCCAUACCAGCAUCACAGAAAUCCUACCCACAUAACAGCCUUGGUCCCUGGCUGCCUUUUCCUCUUUUAUAAUAGCUCUUUCCUUUUCUAAGAUAAACAAGUAUCUCAAGUUGGAUGUGUCCAGGAUUAGAGACAACCAUUUGAACUUAAGAGGCCCAGAGGUCCUGGAUUCCAUCAAAUUGGAGACAAAUGACCUUUUGUUAAUUCUCUGACAACUUCAAUGUUCUUGGAGAGGACUAACCCAAACCUGUCUGGUUUGCCAGCAAACAAUGUACUGGGAAUUAUUUUGAUAGUACGGAGCCAAGAUGAAAUGUAAAAUGAAUGAUUAAGGGUCUUGCCAGAUGUUUUAUGUUCUGGUGAGGUUUAAGUAUCAUCCUUCCAGUAGAAUGGAACAGUAGCUGCUGAAUUGUGUUUUAAGUGGUUCUGUUAAUAAGCACUGUGAUUCUUUUAUGUUUAGCAUUUUUUGUGUGUAUAGAAACAAAUUGCUGGUUCUCAGAUUGAUACCUAUUGUACAUGGAACCCUUUCUUUACUCCUUCUUUUCUGGAGAAACCCCAAGUAUGAACUAUAGCCUAAACUAUAAAUAAAAUUGUCCCGAAUCAAGAUCA
This 1074-nucleotide long non-coding RNA is filed under the name Monodelphis domestica (gray short-tailed opossum). Its description in RNAcentral is "lncRNA (ENSMODG00000037940.1)". The record is from RNAcentral. Lineage: Eukaryota; Metazoa; Chordata; Mammalia; Didelphimorphia; Didelphidae.